RNAcentral lists this ribosomal RNA (415 nucleotides) under uncultured crenarchaeote. Its description in RNAcentral is "partial 16S ribosomal RNA". It matches the Rfam family "Archaeal small subunit ribosomal RNA", at positions 330 to 747 of the family's 1478-position model. Lineage: Archaea; Thermoproteati; Thermoproteota. The record is from RNAcentral.
GCGCAGCAGUCGCGAAAACUCCGCAAUACGCGAAAGCGUGACGGGGCUACCCCGAGUGUCGUCCGCUGAGGACGACUUUUCCACGCUGUAAGGAGGCGUGGGAAUAAGGAGAGGGCAAGUCUGGUGUCAGCCGCCGCGGUAAUACCAGCUCUCCGAGUGGUAGGGACGAUUAUUGGGCUUAAAGCGUCCGUAGCCGGCUCAGCAAGUCUCCCGUUAAAUCCAGCGAUUCAAUCGUUGGAUUGCGAGGGAUACUGUUCGGCUAGGGGGUGAGAGAGGCCAACGGUAUUCCCGGGGUAGGGGUGAAAUCCUAUAAUCCCGGGAGGACCACCAGUGGCGAAGGCGGCCGGCCAAAACGCGCCCGACGGUGAGGGACGAAAGCUGGGGGAGCGAACGGGAUUAGAUACCCCGGUAGUCC